GGGCGCUUAGCUCAGCGGCUAGAGCAUCCGCCUUACACGCGGGGGGUCGGGGGUUCAAAUCCCUCAGCGCCCA
This 73-nucleotide transfer RNA is filed under the name Anaerolineae bacterium. RNAcentral's name for it is "tRNA-Val". It matches the Rfam family "tRNA". Rfam says of the family: Transfer RNA (tRNA) molecules are approximately 80 nucleotides in length. Their secondary structure includes four short double-helical elements and three loops (D, anti-codon, and T loops). Lineage: Bacteria; Bacillati; Chloroflexota; Anaerolineae. The record is from RNAcentral.